RNAcentral lists this long non-coding RNA (7795 nucleotides) under Malus domestica (apple). RNAcentral describes it as "long non-coding RNA (MDOM_LNC015041)". The record is from RNAcentral. Lineage: Eukaryota; Viridiplantae; Streptophyta; Magnoliopsida; Rosales; Rosaceae.
GAUAACCAUUUCAUUUUACCAAGUUCAAUGUUAGUCAUAUUAGUCAAUAUUUAUAUGUUUCGAUGCAACAACAAGAUGUUAUUUGUAACAAGUAGUUUUGUUGGUUGGUUAAUUGGUCUCAUUUUAUUCAUGAAAUGGAUUGGGUUGGUAUUAUGUUGGAUACAGCAAAAUAAUUUUAUUAGAUCUAAUAAGUACCUUGUGUCAUAAUUGAGAAAUUCUAUGGCUCGAAUAUUUAGUAUUAUCUUAUUUAUUACCUGGGUCUACUAUUUAGGUAGAAUACCGUCGAUGUACGAUAUUUAUAUCAGUUAAUGAAAGAGCCCAAUGCAAAAAAAUGCACAUUGGGUCUUUGAAACAGUUCAAAUCAUUUUGAUAAUAAGAAGUUUGAUAUGUUUUUACUGAGAAGGCCUACGGUUCGAGUCCAUAUGGCCCUAAAACCUAAAAGUUAAAAAAAAUGAAAAGAAAAAGAAAAGAUGCUAUAUCAUAUAUAGUAAAACUUAGUUUCUGAUGGCACUGUUCAUCAGCAGUGCCCGGGCUAAAAUGCAUUCGGUUUUUUGUUUGGUUUGCCGUUUUGCUGCCUGCUUUGCACAGUUAAAUACCAAUUUUGACCAUUCGAUCCACGCGUCGAUCAUCGCUGUGCAUCGGAUGCUUCUCGACUUUUCUUCUCACCUUUUCCUUUCGUUUCCACUUUUUCUUUCUCACAAUUCUCUGCUGUCCCUCUCGAACUCUCCUUAUAAUGACCCGUCCCCAAUUACUAUGAAUUUUAUAAUUUUAAAAUGUGCAAUUUCGAAAAUACUCUUCGAGGCAAAUGCGUUGACUUUUGUUGACCACUUUGUCGUGGCACGUAAGAUCUGUUUUCUUGGCGUAUCUUCAUAGUACUCGUCGUUAUGGAUACGUGGGCGCAAACAGAAUGUAAUUUAGAGUUAUAAUGAAGGAGUAAUUAACGAAUGAAGCCAAGGAUAAAAUGGUCAAUUGAUCAUUUUCUAGAAUGCUCCAAAAUUGUUGGAGAAAAUCUGGGAAGCCACGUGGUGGCUGUGAUUGGAAAUAUAAGGAGAGGAAAGAGGGGGCUGCUGCCUAAUCAGAGGAGAAUGGUGGGAGAGAAGGAGAGCAACCAGAGAAGGGGAGAGACCAAUCGGGAAAAGUGAAGGAAAAUGAGUGACCAAUCAGAAAAGAGGAAAUGAGGGAAAAGAAAGAAGAGAGAAGACCACCCAACCCAAACCCUCACUUGACUCGGUUUCUGGCCAUUUUUCCGUCGUUUUUUUCGUUGGAUUUCCGGCGUGUUCAAGCCAUCCAACAUCACCACCAGAGUCACCGAUCUUCCCUUUUCAAUUCCCAUCCAAACUCGACAGCAUAUAGCCCCAGUUUCAUGAGGAACCGAGUGGGUGGCGCCGAGGGUCUCAUGGCGGCAAUUCGCCAUUCCUGAAGUCAACUCUGUCGACUACCACCAUCGGUUUACUCCUCCUAAACCCAAGAACAAGUCCCAAGCCUUGGUUGGUGCGGCAGAGCACUGGAGGUGAUGAAUCUAAACACACCCUUUAUAGGGUUUCAGAAGGUUCGUGGUAAUUUCAGGCCACUUCCCGGCUGAAUUAGAUUUUGGCCUAGGUAUGAAAGUUGUUUCCCUCAUUGAGAUCUUCAUUCUUGUAAAAUUUGAGGAUUUUUUGAAAUAGUUGAAUUUUUCGGUGGGUCGGGGCGACAAGCUGCCAAGUGGGCAGAGACACCACUUGACCUCCCUAGGCUAAAAUGGGUGCCCCGAUUCCAUAUUAGACAUCCGAUUGACAAAAUUCCAUUGUUUGGUUAUAUUUUUGUUAAGGGCCGCCACUUGCUUAUUAUAUUAUUCGAUGAUCCAAACAUUGGAUCGUCACCAAACUUUAAUACAUAAUAGUACGUAAUAUUUAAGGAUAUUAGGAACUGACGAAUAGGGAAUCUAACGUACGGAUUUGCCCGAAUUGGUUUUCUAAGUUUAUAAAUCUAAACAUCGGCCGCCACUUAAUUUUAGUGAUUGGUGGAGAUCCAACCGUUGGAUUGUUCAAAAACUUUAGGAUGUUGUUCUAGAAGCUUAUUAAAACUUUGGAAAGUUACGGAUCGGAAAUUUGAGGUGUGGAUCUUCUGGAUUGAGUUACGUAUGGUUGUGGACCCUACCGUUGACCUUUGACCGAUGGUUGACUUUUGGUCAAUGGGUUACAAAUCAUUCUAGAACGUCCUUGGGGAUGUGUUUUAUGUAAGUUACAUGUUAUAUAAAAAAGAAUUCUAAGAAGUGAUUUGAUAUUUGUUCUAAGCUACGAUCAUUCGUGACAUCUCGAUAUUCGUACUAGGGAGUUGUAGUGUGGAUUUUAGGUGAGUGAGUCUUUUCUUUUAUAUAGUUUAUACAUAUUUGUUAGUAUCCAUUUAUACAUUGAAAGAGAAUUUACUACGUAUGCCUAGCUUAGACUAAUGCUUAUAAGAAUUAGUGAAAUAGCGGAAAAUUACGAAGUGAUCAUAAAUCGUACGGGAUGCAUAGGUAUGUGUAUGUUUAUUGAUGCCAGGAUUAUACCUACGACUAUGAAUGACAUUAUGUUGAUUAGAACUAUCGAACCAUUAUGGCAUGACUAUAUUUAUGUUUUAUGCUCAUCGUUUGUUGCACCGGUGUUAGUGCUCGCCUAGAGCCAGAGCCAGUCUUUCACGUGUACGUUCACAUCCACACUACAUGCUCACUUUGGAUCUAAAUAGGUGCCGAUCCUGUCGUACAGGUUGCAAUAGGCAACUUUGACUCGUAUAUGACUGCAAAUAACGCCAGUUUUCAUGUGAUUGUAGCACUAGAGUGUAUAUCAUUAUUACACCAGUCCUGUUCAUGUCUGAAUAACUCUGCAUGAAUUCGUGUGUCAGCAUGUGUCGAUGAGCACUUGGUUUGAUAUGUUUGCUUAUGCGAAAGUAUAUGAUUAAUGAUGUCAUGAACUUAUAUAUGAACUAUUGUGCCGUAUUGAUAUCUUGAUAUUUUUUCAGGCUAUGGUGAGUAUUUUCAUACUAUAUGUAGUAUGUAUAUAUUGGAAACUAUACAUGUUUUACGGCGAGAGGUUAUAACGUUUACAAAGGUUUUUAUUAAAAUUUUAUUUUCAGGCCCACUCACCCUUGUUUUUCGCCCCUCCAAGUUUUAGGAGCUAAGCUUUCUUAUCGACGGUGAUUCUUGGCAAAUCUUGGUAUAGACAAUUACCUUCGAUGGUAUAAUUCUCACCCUAUCUUAUUGUACUGUACUUAUGUUCUGACAUCACGUGUGAAAUGGGUUCAUUCUCGCUCACAUCGCACUCUUAUAUUUAGGCACUUUUAGGUUUAAAUUUAUUCACAUAUUCCACCACACUACACUUUAUGGCUUUGUCACCUUCUAGGUGUCGGCCAACACAGCUCGAUUUGGGUCAGGGUGUGUCAGUUUGGUAUCAGAGCAUAAGUUUGGGUGGUAUUGCAUACAUCACAUGCGUGAUGUAAGCAUUCUCGAUUCUUGAGGCUAAAUGUUGAAUUUUGCCACCUCGUCAACUAUGAAAAACGUGUUAGGUUUUCCUAAGUUUUGGGCGGAUUAGGUGACUUAUUGACAUUCAAGAAAGUCACUUUGGCGACCACUUUUAAACGUUAAGUGAAGAAUUUCCCUGCCAAGGAAAGAUGUAGAUUUGAGACAAGUUGAUGCCCCUGAGGCAAUGCUACCAUAUCGAUAACUGUGCAUUACGGGAGAUUUACCUACCAAUUCCACUACCAUCUAGUCAUUUCUACCAACCUUUCAAUAAUGGAAACCAUAAAUAGUUUUGAUUCCUUGGCAGCAUCCAUUAGUAUGUCAUCUAUUAGAAUUCCUAUGUAGUUUACUUUGUCAAAAUUUCCAGAAAUGUCUUGUGUGAUAAUGUGGUGCUAAAAUGGUAACACUCGACGGAAGAACAUCUUGGGACAAUCACUUUUGGUCCCCGAUAAUACUAAUCUUUUCAAACCCAUUAGUGAUCAUUCCGGAUCUUCAGGAGGAAGAUCGACUUCCGUUUAAGUUUGUUCUAAAAUAGAUUAAUAACAACUUCCUUUUUGGCUUUAGGGCGUUCCGACCAAUACUAGUUUUCCGAAUUUCUUUUGGUGAUGUACUUAUCAUUUUGACGAGCAUAGGCACAGGUGUACGAGUUGUUAUACCUACGGUUAGUAGAAAACCUCGAAGUAGUAAGUAUUUUCCCUAGAAUUAAUGAAACCAACUCACAGGACCGGUUCCUUACUAAUCAUCUGAAACCAACUACCCGAGUGAGCUCUAACAUGUAAUCAACCUAUGGUGGCGCUACUAAUUGAUGAUACUGUUUGAUAUCUAGGAACUGUCAACUAGUAUUCAGGUGGUAUGAUUUCUGAUACCAGACACAUGUACUAGUAUCUGGGAGUGAUACAUUUAUACCAUAAUGUCAGUUCACAGUUUCAGGGUAGUGAACAAUAUCAAAAUAUCGUAUAUGCAUUAAUUAGCGGUGCGAUUGAUAGACUGAUUAACAGUGACCACCUGAGCCGAAGAAACUAAAUCAUGGAAACUUAGGAGCAAGUUUUGUAGAAGGACCGUAAACUCGCAGUUGUUGAAACCAUGUUUUCCACUUAGGUAAUCAAAACCUCUUUAACUAGUCACCUUUUCGAUCACUUCCACAGGUAGACAGUAAAAUCGAAUUAUGAGUCGAUUUCUCACUGUUAGAGUGAUUUGAGUAUUGAGAAAGAUAUGAAGACCUAUUCGCACGUGGCGUAGUGAAAUGAAGUAGUAUGGUAUGUCCGAUGACGUACACUUCUGGCGUCAAAUUGGAUAUCACCAAAUGGUAGAGCUAGCUCAUUGAGAGAACUUAGUUACAAAAGCUUACUGAUUAGAAAUUUACCCAACCAAACACCUUAUCUAGGGAACCUCGAACCUAUUCGCGAAGGCGAAAGACCGAACAUUAGGUUUGUACUUAGAUUUUAGCAACCCAAUCGGGUGAUGAUUAAAACCGUUAAUACCCAUACUUCGAAUUACUAGUCUACCCAACUAACCUUUGUAACUCGAGUUUUCCUCCAUGGCUUGACGAAUUCGUAGUGGCCUUAUCGGUAACCUUUUCAUCUACCUCGACAGUGAGACUAAAUUCUCUAAAUAUCAAUAGUUAGCUUUGUACCAAAGUCCUCAACUGUUAACUUUGAUUAAAUUGGUACUUUUCUUGGGAGACGUGAUCUAUUUAAAUGAUAAUAUUUUCUUUUUCCAAAAAGGGUUUAGUGGAAGAAAGUUGAAAUUCUCACAAAAUGUAGUGAAAUUGAGAUAUCUUUGGUCCUGUCGAUUUUAUCGACAAUUUGUUAGCGAUCAUUCGGCUAUAGUGUUUUUCCUCAUUUAAAACCGAGGAAAGUUAGUUUAGUUGUGAUGUUGAUUAUGAAUAAAGUUUCUGACAACUGAAUUGUUCUCUCAUCUUACCUUCGUUUUACACCUUUUGAUGAUAAUGAUCAUUUUGGAAAUCCAUGAUGACGUGUUCUUUGGAUGUUUCGGCUGUAUAGAGGCAGCAUGACAAAGUAUCGCUUAUAUUUCCCAACGUGUAGAACUUUUCGGAAUGGACCAUCUUAUUCAUGACUUAGAGUUAACAGUUGCCAUCUUUACUUGAAAACCGGAUGACAUUUCUCAGUAGAGAAAUGUGUCCAAAAUCUCUAUCAAUCUUAGACCUCGCAAGUACAUAUCAAUUUGAAAGGAAUUAGAUUUCUAACAAUGGCGAUAAAGGAACCAAAUCAACAUCUACAAUUACACAAUCGCGUAUCAUCCUCGUUGUGUAAACGUAAUUACUGUUUACUGCAACAAAAGACAUUAUCUACUCCCGAAAUGCUUUCGGCCUAUCCUAUUUCAUUUUAGUUGGAACUCAUGAGCAUUGGGUUGACGUUACUUACAAAUGAUCAAGAAAUUGUUCGAGUGGUUAUACUCACUUUCUGGAUCCAAAUGAAGAUGAGAAAUAUCACCAUAAGCUCCUGGUACGAGGUAUCUUGUACAUGUGGAUAUUACGAUGAUGUUUCGGUGAUUAUUGACCGACUUGACAAGUUAUCUUACUUUCCGUUGGUCUAGAGGGACGACAGUUUAGAUCACUUGAGAAAAUUACUCAUUCUUGAAAUUAUCAAAUUUUUCUGGUGUUUAGAUUAACAUCUACUUUGACUGUGAUUUCAUAUUCACCUUUUGAGCCGGAAGGCAUUCCAGUCACCCUUGGGUACAUGUCUACCCUUUUGCACUUCAUACUAAUUUUGAAGCAAAUAGACUGUUUAGGUGAAUCGCCCGAACAUUUAGAUUUUAGUUGUGAUUGUUAAUUCCUCAAUCACCCAACAAAUACUUUGAUAAGCGAAUCCUUACUGUUGGUGAUUGAACGUUCUAGAAGCUACCGUUGUAGCGAGAUGUCAUGCAUUAAUUUCAAUUACCUUGUAUUCUAAAUUUGAUGGACUUGUUUGACCCUCAAAUUCUUGAUUGUUCUUCUUGGCAUAGUUUUGCAAAACUCGAGGGAAAUUCAAUAUGAACCUACUCACUAUAGCGUUAUGAACUGCAUUGUUUGGUUAUAUGGUGUGUGUGUCACUACUAUAUCUCACCGUGACACGUGUUUCAUUUCCAAGUCUUGGGAAGCCUUCUUGAAGGUCAUGUGUAUUAAGCAUUGUCACGUACCACAUUUCACCCUCAGACUAACGAUUAGUCUGAAACGAGCGACUCAAACCUUAGUGGACAUGUUGCAUUUUGUCCGUUCUACAAUUAGCAUGGUUGUGACACGUAGUUAUCUUUAUUUUAGUUUCAUGUAACUACGAUUACAAUUUUUGGUUUUAGGUAUGGCACUGUUAAGAUGUAGUAUGGAAAUUUUAUGCAUAGCCUAUGCUUGACAGAAGAGUAUUGUGAACAGGUAGUUGAAUGAUCGAGAUUACAAUGUAGCAAAUUGUGUGCUAUUUGUGUUGUCGCUCGAGAGGGUAGUACGUGAGCUCGAUAGAGGCGCUAAUUGGAUGAUUUAUGUGUAUUUCCCAAUGAGGGGCAUGAUGGUAAUAUUUCACCCUCAGGAAUUUGUUACUUACUUAUCGAGACAACUGUGAGUUGUCGGUAUUGCGGGUUGCAAGCUGUAAUAAUGAUUACUUAUUCGUUGGACUCGUUAAGCAAAUGGACAAUUAGGCUGUUUAUGUUAGUUUAUUUAUUUAUUGUUUGGGCUCGACCCAAAGUUACUACAUGCUUAUUUUCUGAGUACGUGACUCUACAGGUGCAUAAAUGAAAAUUUUCUAUGUUCAGUUUUGACUUCGGCACAACUAUUUUAAAUUGUACAUUAUAUUAUAUACAUAUUUUGACUAUAUGAUACUAUAUAUCUAUUUUGACUUGAUGUUUUCAUAAAGGAUUUUAUAUUGUAGUAUUGUAUUGAAGGAGAAAGACAUUUUGAAUUUGGAGGCAUGAAAGAGGAAUCAUUGCAAUCCGAUCCUGACCGAAUGACAUUCUCUUUUAUGCAAUCGUUCUAACUUGAUAUCUUAUUUACAUAUUUAUUUUUCUAUUGCCUUUUCACUAUUUUUGUAAACAAAUGAUUUUAAAUUUUGUAGAUUGUAACGACCCGUCCCCAAUUACUAUGAAUUUUAUAAUUUUAAAAUGUGAAAUUUUGAAAAUAACCUUCGAGGCAAAUGCGUUGACUUUUGUUGACCGCUUUGUCGUGACACGUAAGAUCUGUUUUCUUGGCGUAUCUUCGUAGUACUCGUCGUUACGGAUGAGUGGGCGCAAACAGAACGUAAUUUGGAGUUAUUAACGAAUGAAGUCAAGGAAAAAUGGUCAAUUUAUCAUAUUUUCUGGAAGGCUCCAAAAUUGUUGGAGAAAAUCUGGGAAGCCACG